CACGUAGGGUGCAAGCGUUGUCCGGAUUCAUUGGGCGUAAAGGGCUAGUAGGCGGCUUAGCAAGUCGGGUGUGAAAACUUCAGGCUCAACCUGGAGCGGCCAUCCGAUACUGCUAUGGCUAGAGUCCGGUAGGGGACCACGGAAUUCCUGGUGUAGCGGUGAAAUGCGCAGAUAUCAGGAGGAACACCGGUGGCGAAGGCGGAUCUCUGGGCCUUACCUGACGCUCAGGCGCGAAAGCUAGGGGAGCGAACAGG
RNAcentral lists this ribosomal RNA (254 nucleotides) under uncultured bacterium. Its description in RNAcentral is "partial 16S ribosomal RNA". It matches the Rfam family "Bacterial small subunit ribosomal RNA", at positions 524 to 776 of the family's 1533-position model. The record is from RNAcentral.